RNAcentral lists this transfer RNA (73 nucleotides) under Candidatus Curtissbacteria bacterium RIFCSPHIGHO2_01_FULL_41_44. Its description in RNAcentral is "tRNA-Arg". It matches the Rfam family "tRNA". From Rfam's summary of the family: Transfer RNA (tRNA) molecules are approximately 80 nucleotides in length. Their secondary structure includes four short double-helical elements and three loops (D, anti-codon, and T loops). Further hydrogen bonds mediate the characteristic L-shaped molecular structure. tRNAs have two regions of fundamental functional importance: the anti-codon, which is responsible for specific mRNA codon recognition, and the 3' end, to which the tRNAs corresponding amino acid is attached (by aminoacyl-tRNA synthetases). tRNAs cope with the degeneracy of the genetic code in two manners: having more than one tRNA (with a specific anti-codon) for a particular amino acid; and 'wobble' base-pairing, i.e. permitting non-standard base-pairing at the 3rd anti-codon position. The record is from RNAcentral. Lineage: Bacteria; Candidatus Curtissiibacteriota. RNAcentral also lists the same sequence under 5 other names.
GCGCCCAUAGUUCAAUGGACAGAACGUUAGGUUCCGGACCUAGAGGCUAGAGGUUCGAGUCCUCUUGGGCGCA